Long non-coding RNA from Trichomycterus rosablanca, 490 nucleotides. RefSeq lists it as uncharacterized. The record is from RefSeq and is a predicted model, not a curated record. The transcript is spliced from 3 exons. Lineage: Eukaryota; Metazoa; Chordata; Actinopteri; Siluriformes; Trichomycteridae.
AUUGCAGUUUGGAUCAAAGGAAGGGUCAUUGAGCUUCACCUUCACCAAGGUCACAGUCUCCACUGCAAUACAAAGCGGAGCUCGUUUCUGGUUUGACUGGAUUUCCGAUAUCUGGACAGCCUUACAUUUGGAAGAAGCCAAAAGAUGCCCUUAACCAAAAAUUGUAUGCGGCCAGCUGUUAAACACAGGAAUACACAAUGGUUCGAUCCCCAGGUGGGGCGGUCCUGGUCCUUUCUGUGUGAAGUUUGCAUGUUCUCUCCGUGUCUGCGUGGGUUUUCUUCCGGGAGCUCCGGUUUCCUCCCACAGUCCAAAGACAUGCAAGUGAGGUGAACUUGUACAAACACAAUACAAAAAUUGUCUAUCACUGUGUUUGACAUUAAACUUGUGAACUGAUGAAUCUUGUGUAAUGAGUAACUACAGUUUCUGUCAUUAAUGUAACCAGUGUAAAACAUGACGUUAAAAUCCUAAUAAAUAAAUAAAUAAACUUUUA